GACAGAGGUGCCAAGCGUUAGGCGGAAUCACUGGGCUUAAAGCGUGUGUAGGCGGAAUGGUAAGUACCUUGUGAAAUCCCACAGCUUAACUGUGGAACUGCUUGGUAUACUGCCAGUCUUGAGCCACUUAGGGGCUACCGGAACAAAUGGUGGAGCGGUGAAAUGCGUAGAUAUCAUUUGGAACGCCAAUGGUGAAAACAGGUAGCUGGGAGUGUGCUGACGCUGAGACACGAAAGCCAGGGGAGCAAACGGG
Molecule: ribosomal RNA, 253 nt
Filed under: uncultured bacterium
Lineage: Bacteria
Description: partial 16S ribosomal RNA
Rfam family: Bacterial small subunit ribosomal RNA
Source: RNAcentral